Molecule: unclassified non-coding RNA, 348 nt
Filed under: soil metagenome
Description: partial contains 5.8S ribosomal RNA, internal transcribed spacer 2, and large subunit ribosomal RNA
Rfam family: 5.8S ribosomal RNA (bases 1-120)
Source: RNAcentral
GAUGAAGAACGUAGCGAAAUGCGAUAAGUAAUGUGAAUUGCAGAAUUCAGUGAAUCAUCGAAUCUUUGAACGCACAUUGCGCCCGCCGGUAUUCUGGCGGGCAUGCCUGUCUGAGCGUCAUUUCAACCCUCAUGCCCCUAGGGCGUGGUGUUGGGGAUCGGCCAAAGCCCGCGAGGGACGGCCGGCCCCUAAAUCUAGUGGCGGACCCGUCGUGGCCUCCUCUGCGAAGUAGUGAUAUUCCGCAUCGGAGAGCGACGAGCCCCUGCCGUUAAACCCCCAACUUUCCAAGGUUGACCUCAGAUCAGGUAGGAAUACCCGCUGAACUUAAGCAUAUCAAUAAGCGGAGGA